GGAGAGAUGGCCGAGUGGUUUAAGGCGCCUUCCUGCUAAGAAGGAGCCCGGCAUAACCGGGCGCCAGGGUUCGAAUCCCUGUCUCUCCGCCA
This 92-nucleotide transfer RNA is filed under the name Chloroflexota bacterium. RNAcentral's name for it is "tRNA-Ser". It matches the Rfam family "tRNA". Rfam says of the family: Transfer RNA (tRNA) molecules are approximately 80 nucleotides in length. The record is from RNAcentral. Lineage: Bacteria; Bacillati; Chloroflexota.